UCUCUCGCCAUCUCGCAUCGCUGCCCGUAAAAGACAACCUCUCCCUCUAUCUCUAGAACCUUCCCCGAAGCAGACGGACGCCCACCGACCCCCCACACCCCCUCCCGUCUCACACGGCCACCUACGCCUCCGCCUGUUCAUUCGUUUUCCUCGUCUAUAUCCAUCUGUUACGUACAACCCCCCUCUCCUCUCCUCCUCCUCCGACACACAUACACACACACACAGACACAGACACCUGACUCCUCGUUUACAUACACAGCUACGCGAGGACGUAUUGUGGCACCGCCGUCGACUGACUGCUUGCCGGAUCCGCAGACGCCCGGGCCCUCCUCUGUAGUGCAUUACGCGGAGACCAGUCUUUUGCUCGCUUCCGCUGUGAACACCUCCCACACUCCUCGGCGCCUCCGCGCGUGCCUUCCGUAUUGUCUCUUGAAGCCCACCCCCGCCGUUUGCGCGAUACUGACGCGCUCACUACUCGUUCUGUCGCUCUCAAACCGUAUCCCUCCCGCAACCCUUGCUUCUCAGGACCUUCGACUGCCCUUCGUCUCUCGUACACCCCUCUUCUUGUCCGUGCCUGACAUCUUUGCUACCAUGUCGGGCUUGACGAAGUUCUUCCCUUACUCCACCAGCUUCCUCAAGGGCUCGGCGACGGACAUCGUGCUACCAACGCUGGCUGGUAAGACCUUCUUCUUCUACUUCUCGGCUAGUUGGUGCCCGCCAUGCCGCGGCUUCACUCCGAAGCUCGUUGAAUUCUACAACAAACACGCGAAGUCGAAGAAUUUCGAGGUGAUGCUGAUCUCUUGGGACGAGGAGGCCGACGAUUUCAUGGAGUACUACAAAAAAAUGCCAUGGCUGGCGCUGCCUUUUGAGGAUCGAAAAGGGAUGGAGUUUCUUAAGAAUGGGUUCAAGGUGGAGACGAUUCCGACGCUGAUCGGCGUCGAAGCGGACACAGGCAAGAUCGUUACGACACGGGCGCGCAACAUGGUCGAGAAGGAUCCCGAGGGGAAGGAGUUCCCGUGGCCCAACGUGUCGGAGAAGUAAACCAAACACAAAGGGGUGCACCAUAUGCACCAGUGCUGGAGAGGGUGAACGCACGAUGAGGUACGUGCUUCAGUGGCAAGCAGUGAUGGUGGUGCGCGCCUGCUCGCGCGCGCACUUCGAAUGCGUCUUCCAGAAGAUGCUUACCUUGAGGAUGCUUCUCUCUGUUUUUCUCUUGUACCUUGGCAACUCUCGUUGAGGGUGAUCGGCAUGAGCGCUAGCGCGACCCUGCCCGAGGACCGUUAUCCUUGCCGUCCUCUCCCCCCCCCCCAUCAACCCCUCACCACGAUUGGUCGUCUCCCGCCGUUUUCCUCCUGAUAGCGAUCGUUAUGGAAAUGCUGUGGCUCGCUUGCACAGGCACAAGCACACUUAAAGGGCACAUUUCUGUUGUACUAAUCCUCCGUGUCCUGCGUACAAGAGACUCGACGCACCCUGCCCUCUUACUCCAAUGUUCGCGUAUACACAGAAAACAAGCUGACCGUCUCUGCUGCUGCUGCUGAUCAGUGAGCGAGUUCCCGUCAUUCGUCUGUUGCACCACAUCGGUAGGAUGGGAGGGGAAGACCGCGAAAAAGAAAUGAGCAGAACAUGAGGAGGAGCGCCAAGCGUGGCGCAUUUCACCCCCACACGCGCACAUUUUGGUGAAACCAGAGUCGAGAAGAAAGCGGGGUGUGCAGUAAUGGGCUUGCAUGCGGCUUUGGACAUACACGGGCGCAGCUCGUCAAUCAGCGGUGAUGUGUAGGAGGUGGGG
This 1786-nucleotide unclassified non-coding RNA is filed under the name Leishmania donovani. RNAcentral's name for it is "gene:LdHU3.29.1720(CDS-product:tryparedoxin_2_put ative)". Lineage: Eukaryota; Euglenozoa; Kinetoplastea; Trypanosomatida; Trypanosomatidae. The record is from RNAcentral.